RNAcentral lists this ribosomal RNA (589 nucleotides) under uncultured bacterium. RNAcentral describes it as "bacterial SSU rRNA". It matches the Rfam family "Bacterial small subunit ribosomal RNA", at positions 338 to 946 of the family's 1533-position model. The record is from RNAcentral.
CCUACGGGAGGCAGCAGUGGGGAAUAUUGGACAAUGGGCGAAAGCCUGAUCCAGCAAUGCCGCGUGAGUGAUGAAGGCCUUCGGGUCGUAAAGCUCUUUUACCAGGGAUGAUAAUGACAGUACCUGGAGAAUAAGCUCCGGCUAACUCCGUGCCAGCAGCCGCGGUAAUACGGAGGGAGCUAGCGUUGUUCGGAAUUACUGGGCGUAAAGAGUACGUAGGCGGUUAUUCAAGUCAGAGGUGAAAGCCCGGGGCUCAACCCCGGAACUGCCUUUGAAACUAGAUAACUAGAGUCUUGGAGAGGUUAGUGGAAUUCCGAGUGUAGAGGUGAAAUUCGUAGAUAUUCGGAAGAACACCAGUGGCGAAGGCGACUAACUGGACAAGUACUGACGCUGAGGUACGAAAGCGUGGGGAGCAAACAGGAUUAGAUACCCUGGUAGUCCACGCCGUAAACGAUGAUAACUAGUUGUUCGGUCACUUGGUGACUGAGUGACGCAGCUAACGCAUUAAGUUAUCCGCCUGGGGAGUACGGUCGCAAGAUUAAAACUCAAAUNAUAGACGCGNGAGAGNGCGACGACGACACGAGGAGAG